This 91-nucleotide transfer RNA is filed under the name Burkholderiales bacterium. RNAcentral's name for it is "tRNA-Ser". It matches the Rfam family "tRNA". From Rfam's summary of the family: Transfer RNA (tRNA) molecules are approximately 80 nucleotides in length. Lineage: Bacteria; Pseudomonadati; Pseudomonadota; Betaproteobacteria; Burkholderiales. RNAcentral also lists the same sequence under 7 other names. The record is from RNAcentral.
GGAGAGGUGGCAGAGUGGUCGAAUGCGCCGGAUUCGAAAUCCGGUGUACGGUUUUACCGUACCGUGGGUUCGAAUCCCACCCUCUCCGCCA